This 254-nucleotide ribosomal RNA is filed under the name uncultured bacterium. RNAcentral's name for it is "partial 16S ribosomal RNA". It matches the Rfam family "Bacterial small subunit ribosomal RNA", at positions 79 to 334 of the family's 1533-position model. The record is from RNAcentral.
CUUUCUUUGCUGGCGACCGGCGCACGGGUGAGCAACACGUAUCCAACCUGCCCUUUACUCGGGGAUAGCCUUUCGAAAGAAAGAUUAAUACCCGAUAGUAUAAUGAUUCCGCAUGGUUUCAUUAUUAAAGGAUUCCGGUAAAGGAUGGGGAUGCGUUCCAUUAGGUUGUUGGUGAGGUAACGGCUCACCAAGCCUUCGGUGGAUAGGGGUUCUGAGAGGAAGGUCCCCCACAUUGGAACUGAGACACGGUCCAA